UUCGGGGGCGAGUAGAGUGGCGCACGGGUGAGUAACGCGUAGACAACCUACCUUUAAGUUUGGAAUAACUUCUUGAAAGAGAAGCUAAUACCGAAUAACAAUUUUGACCUAGUGGUUGGAAUUUGAAAGGCUUCGGUCGCUUUGAAGAUGGGUCUGCGUGACAUUAGCUUGUUGGUAAGGUAACGGCUUACCAAGGCUACGAUGUCUAGUGGGUCUGAGAGGAUGACCCGCCACACUGGAACUGAGACACGGUCCAGACUCCUACGGGAGGCAGCAGUAAGGAAUCUUGCGCAAUGGGCGAAAGCCUGACGCAGCAAUACCGCGUGAAUGAAGAAGGCCCUUGGGUCGUAAAGUUCUUUUAUAGGGGAAGAUAAUGACGGUACCCUAUGAAUAAGCACCGGCUAACUUCGUGCCAGCAGCCGCGGUAAUACGAAGGGUGCGAGCGUUGUUCGGAUUUACUGGGCGUAAAGAGCAAGUAGGCUGUUUUUUAAGCAAAGGGUGAAAUCCCGAGGCUCAACCUCGGAACUGCUCUUUGAACUGGAAGACUAGAGAAAGACAGAGGCAAGCGGAAUUCUUGGUGUAGAGGUGGAAUUCAUAGAUAUCAAGAGGAACAUCGGUGGCGAAGGCGGCUUGCUGGGUCUUUUCUGACGCUGAGAGGCGAAAGCGUGGGUAGCAAACAGGAUUAGAUACCCUGGUAGUCCACGCCGUAAACGAUGAGUAUCAGCCGUUUAGCUUCGGCUAGGUGGUGCAGCUAACGCUUUGAAUACUCCGCCUGGGGAGUACGGUCGCAAGACUAAAACUCAAAGGAAUAGACGGGGACCCGCACAAGCAGUGGAGCAUGUGGUUUAAUUCGAUGCAACGCGAAAAACCUUACCUAGGUUUGAAAUCCCUUGACAACCUUAGAAAUAAGGCUUUCCCUUCGGGGACAAGGUGACAGGUGC
RNAcentral lists this ribosomal RNA (941 nucleotides) under uncultured bacterium. Its description in RNAcentral is "bacterial SSU rRNA". It matches the Rfam family "Bacterial small subunit ribosomal RNA", at positions 79 to 1041 of the family's 1533-position model. The record is from RNAcentral.